This 51-nucleotide non-coding RNA is filed under the name Lotharella globosa. Lineage: Eukaryota; Cercozoa; Chlorarachniophyceae. The record is from RNAcentral.
AUUCUUCUUUUUUUCUUUUGUGUUUUUUUUUUUUUUUUUUUUUUUUUUUUU